This 417-nucleotide RNase P RNA is filed under the name Treponema sp. Its description in RNAcentral is "RNase P RNA component class A". It matches the Rfam family "Bacterial RNase P class A". Rfam says of the family: Ribonuclease P (RNase P) is a ubiquitous endoribonuclease, found in archaea, bacteria and eukarya as well as chloroplasts and mitochondria. Its best characterised activity is the generation of mature 5'-ends of tRNAs by cleaving the 5'-leader elements of precursor-tRNAs. The record is from RNAcentral. Lineage: Bacteria; Pseudomonadati; Spirochaetota; Spirochaetia; Treponematales; Treponemataceae.
AUAAGGAUAUUUGGCCGCGCGGACAUGGCUUAUGACAGUCAGCGUUCGUGAGGCAAAGUCCGGGCUCCGCCGGAAAAGAUGCCGGGUAAUAACCGGGCAGCAUCAGUAAGCUGCAAUGGCUUGUUCAUUGUAAAGCACUGAGGCUGACAGAAAGUGCUUCAGAAAAUAACCGCCCCAAAAGGGUAAGGGUGAAAAGGCAGGGUAAGAGCCUACCGCGUAGUUGGCAACAAAUACGGCAUAAGCAAACCUCAUCUGGAGCAAGAUCAAGUAUGCGGUUUGGUUUUCCGGACUUACACCGCGGGUAGAUCGCUGGAGGCGGCGGGUAACUGCCGUUGCGGAUAGAUGGCCAAGCGAGACUGAGUGUGGCAACACAUUCUUUCUGCGUACCAGAACCCGGCUUACUGUAUCCUUUUUUUG